This 493-nucleotide ribosomal RNA is filed under the name uncultured bacterium. RNAcentral's name for it is "bacterial SSU rRNA". It matches the Rfam family "Bacterial small subunit ribosomal RNA", at positions 903 to 1397 of the family's 1533-position model. The record is from RNAcentral.
AAAUGAAUAGACGGGGGCCCGCACAAGCGGCGGAGCAUGUGGCUUAAUUCGACGCAACGCGAAGAACCUUACCAGGGCUUGACAUAUAGGGAAAAGCCGCAGAGAUGCGGUGUGCUUCGGCGUCCUAUACAGGUGGUGCAUGGUUGUCGUCAGCUCGUGCCGUGAGGUGUUGGGUUAAGUCCCGCAACGAGCGCAACCCCUGUCCUAUGUUGCCAGCGAGUAAUGUCGGGGACUCAUAGGAGACUGCCGGUGUCAAACCGGAGGAAGGUGGGGAUGACGUCAAAUCAUCAUGCCCCUUACGUCCUGGGCUGCACACAUGCUACAAUGGCCGGUACAAAGGGCUGCGAUCUCGUGAGGGUGAGCGAAUCCCAUAAAGCCGGUCUCAGUUCGGAUUGGAGUCUGCAACUCGACUCCAUGAAGGCGGAGUCGCUAGUAAUCGCAGAUCAGCAACGCUGCGGUGAAUACGUUCCCGGGCCUUGUACACACCGCCCGU